Non-coding RNA from Tinamus guttatus (white-throated tinamou), 80 nucleotides. Lineage: Eukaryota; Metazoa; Chordata; Aves; Tinamiformes; Tinamidae. The record is from RefSeq and is a predicted model, not a curated record.
CCAGCUGAUAUCAGCUGCCCAGCUGCUUCCAGAGCCCCCACCUAAAGUCAGGGGAGGUUCACCAGGUGGUUCGGCUAAUU